Molecule: long non-coding RNA, 893 nt
Filed under: Sorghum bicolor (sorghum)
Lineage: Eukaryota; Viridiplantae; Streptophyta; Magnoliopsida; Poales; Poaceae
Description: long non-coding RNA (SBIC_LNC015230)
Source: RNAcentral
GCAGAACCCGAUAGUGAUGCCUACAAGUAGGGCACGACGUUGAUGAUGCCACCACCACUAGUAGCCUGGAUGAACCGGGGAACGGUUUUCAAUUAGAAGUACAUAAAACAACAGGGGUGGAGAGAUAUCAACACCAAGGUUUGAAGCGCUCUCGUGCGUCACCAUCAAUAUAGGUCAGGCAUAGCUUUUGGCAAAGGCUCCACCAAACCAUUGUACUAUAUGAACAUCUUCUCAAAUUAGGGUGAUUCAAAGGAAUGACACCUCGAAGGCGAGUCCAGGUCACUUGAUGUUUAGUGUGAAUGUUUUCUUCUCUACUGACUACCAUGAUACAUCUGUCCAUCAUAAACACCAGAAUGGGAGAAACCAGCAGCUGCCAUGGUGCUGCCGGGCACAGUAGUGUCUCUGCAGGUAGCAACUGGCGGCGUCAUGAACAGGACGGCGAUUACAAUGGCCGCCAGGAAGUGCUUUGACAGUUUUGUAGGUACGGUGAAGCUGCCUGGACCUGCGAUGAACAAGAGGAUGAUUACAAGGCCGCCAUGAAGUGCUUUGACAGUCUUGUGCGCGAUGCUGCCAGGAUCUGCUUCGUUUGGAGCUAUGACGCUAUUCCUCUGACCCGUCAAUGUAACACACCUAUUUUUUCACUAUCUUGACUCUCCAGUACAAUCUUGGAAUCAAUACAUGAUUGAUGAUUCUUCCAAACCACCUCUGAAGGUGAUAUAUAUACAAAACUCGGCAAGUACUAGGACUGGUGACUUAUGAGCGGUGGCCGACCGGCGUCCAUGCAUGUCCACGCGGACCUGAGGACAUAUAAUGUCAUUGUGAUGUCACAUUAACUCAUUUACCCUUAAAAACUAAUUAACAAAAUAUAAUCGUAUUUAUACUUGUAUGCAGAC